RNAcentral lists this ribosomal RNA (506 nucleotides) under uncultured bacterium. Its description in RNAcentral is "bacterial SSU rRNA". It matches the Rfam family "Bacterial small subunit ribosomal RNA", at positions 24 to 518 of the family's 1533-position model. The record is from RNAcentral.
UCAGGACGAACGCUGGCGGCGUGCCUAACACAUGCAAGUCGAGCGGGGACAUACGACGGAGUCAAAGUUUCGGAUGGAGACGAAGAUGUAUGUUCUAGCGGCGGACGGGUGAGUAACGCGUGAGCAACCUGUCCCUUACAGGGGGAUAACACAGCGAAAGUUGUACUAAUACCGCAUGAGACCACGGGAGGACAUCCUCCAGGGGUCAAAGGAGCAAUCCGGUAAGGGGUGGGCUCGCGUCCGAUUAGAUAGUUGGUGAGGUAACGGCCCACCAAGUCGACGAUCGGUAGCCGACCUGAGAGGGUGAUCGGCCACAUUGGGACUGAGACACGGCCCAAACUCCUACGGGAGGCAGCAGUGGGGAAUAUUGGGCAAUGGGGGAAACCCUGACCCAGCAACGCCGCGUGAGGGAAGAAGGUUUUCGGAUCGUAAACCUCUGUCCUUGGUGAAGAGGAAGAGACGGUAGCCAAGGAGGAAGCCCCGGCUAACUACGUGCCAGCCGCAGC